Molecule: ribosomal RNA, 255 nt
Filed under: uncultured bacterium
Lineage: Bacteria
Description: partial 16S ribosomal RNA
Rfam family: Bacterial small subunit ribosomal RNA
Source: RNAcentral
UACAGAGGUCCCGAGCGUUGUUCGGAUUCAUUGGGCGUAAAGGGUGCGUAGGCGGCGGGGCAAGUCUGAUGUGAAAUCCUGGGGCUCAACCUCAGAACUGCAUUGGAUACUGCCUUGCUAGAGUACUGGAGAGGGAACUGGAAUUUACGGUGUAGCAGUGAAAUGCGUAGAGAUCGUAAGGAAGGCCAGUGGCGAAGGCGAGUUCCUGGACGAGUUACUGACGCUGAGGCACGAAGGCCAGGGGAGCAAACGGGG